RNAcentral lists this ribosomal RNA (520 nucleotides) under uncultured Acaulospora. Its description in RNAcentral is "SSU rRNA". It matches the Rfam family "Eukaryotic small subunit ribosomal RNA", at positions 569 to 1086 of the family's 1831-position model. Lineage: Eukaryota; Fungi; Glomeromycota; Glomeromycetes; Diversisporales; Acaulosporaceae. The record is from RNAcentral.
AGCAGCCGCGGUAAUUCCAGCUCCAAUAGCGUAUAUUAAAGUUGUUGCAGUUAAAAGCUCGUAGUUGAAUUUCGGGAUUUAUCCGUUGGUCGGGCUUUUUGGGUCUGUACUGGCGUGAUGGAUUCCUACCUUCUGAAUAACCGGCAUGCCAUUAAUUUGGUGCGCCGGGGAAGCAGGACUGUUACCUUGAAAAAAUUAGAGUGCUUAAAGCAGGCUUAUGCCUGAAUACAUUAGCAUGGAAUAAUGAAAUAGGACGCAUGGUUCUAUUUUGUUGGUUUCUAGGAUCACCGUAAUGAUUAAUAGGGAUAGUUGGGGGGCAUUAGUAUUCAAUUGUCAGAGGUGAAAUUCUUGGAUUUAUUGAAGACUAACUUCUGCGAAAGCAUUUUGCCAAGGAUGUUUUCAUUAAUCAAGAACGAAAGUUAGGGGAUCGAAGACGAUCAGAUACCGUCGUAGUCUUAACCAUAAACUAUGCCGACUAGGGAUCGGAUGAUGUUAAUUUUUUUAAUGACUCAUUCGGCGC